Molecule: long non-coding RNA, 3324 nt
Filed under: Sorghum bicolor (sorghum)
Lineage: Eukaryota; Viridiplantae; Streptophyta; Magnoliopsida; Poales; Poaceae
Description: long non-coding RNA (SBIC_LNC014431)
Source: RNAcentral
GGGCUUGCAACCAUCACUUGUGUCUUGAGCAGUUAAAAGACAGAACGGUCUAGUCAAGCGCCACGUCUCUUGUUCUUCGAUUAACUAUAGCUCUAGAUUUUUUGCAGAUUUUCAAAUAAAACUUAGAGAUUCCUUGUAUGACUCUCUCUAGUCUCUCUUUUGUGGUAUUUCUGGAUCCUUACCAAGGCAGUAAUGGUGUAUGCCUUCUCUCAAAGUAUGUGGUAUUUUUGGUAUGAGGCAGAGUGACAUUGUCUUCUCUCUCACCAUACUCUAAUAAGGUUUUGAUAUCUGGAGCUCAUAGGUGAGAGACAGCUAAUACAUACUUACAGGACAUUUAUUGCAUAGUCAAACCAUGGAUCUAGAAGAACAAGUUAAUAAGUCAAAACAAGAUGUGCAUGUGUGGCGAAUGAAUGGUGUAUGGUGAUGAUGGUGAUAACAAUAGUGAAAGUCUAAUUCUACUUGUGCUCUUUUGAGGGGAUACAUACCUUUCUUGCUCUUUUGAAACUUUUUGAGGAGAAUGAGAUGCUCUAUAUUUUCUUUUUAUUUUCUCUCAGGUGGGUAUCUUGUACCCCUAAUUCUACUAUCGGACACAUGUCCAUUUUUACCUGUCGUCUCACUUUUCUUUUCUUUCGAGGUUCCGGGCACUUGCCCCUUUUUAUUUCCUCGUAUUCUCUCUUUUUUUUAGAGCACUCAUCUCUUGAAAUAAUAUAGCAAGUGGUAGUAACCAAGAUAACUUGAGUAUUUAUUUCACAGGGAAAAACAGGAAUAAGAGAAUGUAUUUGGCUAUUCUCUCCUAGAUUAGGAGUAGAAUAUUUUUGGGUAGAAGCAGCUUGUGUGAGUAAACGUGCAAGUGAAUCUUGAUUUUAACCACAUGACAAGCUCCUAAGGGUGUACACAGCUUGACCACACUCAAUGCUCAUAAGCAGUAAAAAGUAAAUGUAUGGUUCAUAAUUUGAUAAGCAUAUAUAUAUGGCUGCGGUAGGAUUUUAAACUCUCAUCAUACAGGAACUCAUCAUGUAACAUUUUAAAGAUUUUCAAAGAUAAAAUUCUCCAAAAUUCUAGCAUCUCUAGGAAUAGAUAAACAGCAGCUCAACCUUCCCAUAUCGUAUCCGUUAACGACUUAGACUUUAGAUCAAGUACACUUCCCACAAGUUCACGUUUAGAGCAAAUCUUAAUUAAUAACAGUCAUGCCUAAACUUGAGAGAGAUUUUAAUUUUGAGAACUAGUCAUGAGAGAGCAACUACUCAUCAUUUCCAUGUGAGAGCUUAUCAUGAGGGUUCAUAGCAAACUUUAUUUAUUUAUUUAUUUAUUUAGCAAACUAAGCAAAGAUAUAUAUAAAAGCACAAAAUCUUUAUUUGGGUUUUUAUGAUUAUGCAUCUUUUUAUUAUUUGAGUAAAGUAUAAACGUGAGUAGAACACUUAGCUGGAUAAAUGAGAGUGCUCUCCCGCAAGCUGGAUUUUGACGUAAUUUCUUCUGAUGUAGCUAGCCAGUAGCGGAGGUGUAUUUGAAUGUCGGCAGCACCCUGACAGCGAUUAUGAUGUCCUCCGUCUGCUUAGUCUUCUUUGAUCUUUGAAUUCUGUGGAGCUCAAAUAGACAACAAAGUUUUGUGGAACUAGUUAAGUGUUAGCAUAAGUAUCUAGCCUUUAUCAUGUUGAGCCUCCUCUAAAAAAUAUUACUCUCUUUAGUAGGAUCACAAUCUUAUUUUUAUAUUUUUAUUUUUAUAGGACAGGAAUAUAUUUAUUUUAUUUUUACGCCACCACAGUGAAUGUACUUAUGGGUUUUAUGCCAUGAGCAUACUCACAUGGGGCUUACUAUUUUUAACAUUUUUAUUUUCUUUUCAAGAUGAUAUGAACCUGAUUAACUAAGCAAAUUAUUUUAAAUAAUUGAAAGGAAAGAGGAUAACUACCAAGUUUUCCUCUUGGCAAGGCGUUCGGUGUUUUAAAGUCCUCCGAACGGGACUCUCCGUCUUCUCAGUCAUCCUGGGAUUCGCUGGAUGGUGUAGUCGGUGGUUCCGGUUGCGCCUCCUCUUUGUGUAUAACUAUCUUGUCUCUCCACACCUGACUCGGUGCUACGGUCUCCUCAGGACAGUUCUGUUCAAGCUGUAUGAGUUCAGACCUUACUACUUCUCCUUCAUAGUCUGCCCAUCCGUCCUUGAUGAUUUGCCUCCUCUAGUUGCGGUUGCGUCGUCUUCUUCUUGUCCUGACCUGCUUGGAGUCUUCAACUAUAUAGUUAGGGUCAGUAAAAUAGCGGCGUACCUUCUUAGAGGGGAAGUGCAUGUGGACUUCUCCAGUUCCAAUGUAGAUGAUUGCUUUAACGGUGCUGAGGAACGGUCUCCCAAGAAUGAUGGGUGGAUCAUUCUCGAUCUCUCCUAUGUCAAUAACCUUCAACCUUCCGGAAUGUCUGAUCUGCCAUCUGAAGCUGAAUGUAUGUCGGUUUUAGGGGCAUGGUUCCGAAUAGAAGCUGAUAGGUGACUGGGUAGGAAAGGUGACUUAAGUCGACGAUCUUGACCACCUUUAACUGCAAUGACCAUCUUAGCUGACUCGGUCUACAUUUGCUGGUUUAUGUUCCUCCUGAUGGUCCUCUUCCUUGGUUCAUGUCGGGAUUGCUCUGAGAUUUGUGUAGUCUUGUUCUUGAAGGAAAAUGUCUCCUUCCUCUCCUUGAUGUAGAAACUAAUCUUGGCAGCACUAGCGUAGAUGACAGCUCCCGAGGUGUUCAAGAAUAGCCUCCCUAAGAUGACGAGAGUCUCAUCAGAACUGGUCUCUAUCACCACGAAGUCUGCUAGGGCGUACAAGGUACCAACUCGGACGCAGAGGUUCUUCAAUAUUCCCUUUGGGGAAACUUAGCGUACGAUCUGCAAGCUGCAAACACAUGGUUGUUUCUAGUAAAGGAUAUGUAAAGAGUUUUUCAUAAAGUACCCUGAGCAUAAUGUUGACGCUAGAGCCAGAGUCACAGAGUGCUUCUAGGAAGUCCACCAUGCCGAUGGAGAUCGGGACGACGGGGCGUCCUGUAUCGUCUCUCUUGACCGGCAGAAGGUCAGUAAUUACUUCCACAAUGGGGUUACUCCAGUAGUUACGUCCUCAUGCAUCUCAGGGAAGUGAUUGCCUAAGCGUCCAGUAUCUCCAGUGUGUUUGUGCUCGUUCCAUGUUUUGCUUGAAGUGUACCUGCUCAUAGAGACAAGGCAGAGAUCAAGUGCAUGGGCCUUGUUGGUGGAAAAUACCAACAGAACCAAAAGUGUAUUUGUUCUUCUCUAACCUUAAGCAUAGUGAGCAAGACAAAGUUGAUCGAUAAUAAGAUCAUGAGUGUAGCAUUUAAAGAAUUUGUCAG